This 395-nucleotide ribosomal RNA is filed under the name Escherichia coli. RNAcentral's name for it is "bacterial SSU rRNA". It matches the Rfam family "Bacterial small subunit ribosomal RNA", at positions 1 to 392 of the family's 1533-position model. The record is from RNAcentral. Lineage: Bacteria; Pseudomonadati; Pseudomonadota; Gammaproteobacteria; Enterobacterales; Enterobacteriaceae.
AAAUUGAAGAGUUUGAUCAUGGCUCAGAUUGAACGCUGGCGGCAGGCCUAACACAUGCAAGUCGAACGGUAACAGGAAGCAGCUUGCUGCUUCGCUGACGAGUGGCGGACGGGUGAGUAAUGUCUGGGAAACUGCCUGAUGGAGGGGGAUAACUACUGGAAACGGUAGCUAAUACCGCAUAACGUCGAAAGACCAAAGAGGGGGACCUUCGGGCCUCUUGCCAUCGGAUGUGCCCAGAUGGGAUUAGCUUGUUGGUGGGGUAAUGGCUCACCAAGGCGACGAUCCCUAGCUGGUCUGAGAGGAUGACCAGCCACACUGGAACUGAGACACGGUCCAGACUCCUACGGGAGGCAGCAGUGGGGAAUAUUGCACAAUGGGCGCAAGCCUGAUGCAGC